RNAcentral lists this ribosomal RNA (481 nucleotides) under uncultured bacterium. RNAcentral's name for it is "partial 16S ribosomal RNA". It matches the Rfam family "Bacterial small subunit ribosomal RNA", at positions 30 to 507 of the family's 1533-position model. The record is from RNAcentral.
UUGAACGCUGGCGGCAUGCUUUACACAUGCCAGUCGGACGGUAACAGGCCGCAAGGUGCUGACGAGUGGCGAACGGGUGAGUAAUGCAUCGGAACGUGCCCAGUCGUGGGGGAUGACUACUCGAAAGAGUAGCUAAUACCGCAUACGAUCUAUGGAUGAAAGCGGGGGACCGUAAGGCCUCGCGCGAUUGGAGCGGCCGAUGUCAGAUUAGGUAGUUGGUGGGGUAAAGGCUCACCAAGCCAACGAUCUGUAGCUGGUCUGAGAGGACGACCAGCCACACUGGGACUGAGACACGGCCCAGACUCCUACGGGAGGCAGCAGUGGGGAAUUUUGGACAAUGGGCGCAAGCCUGAUCCAGCAAUGCCGCGUGCAGGAAGAAGGCCUUCGGGUUGUAAACUGCUUUUGUACGGAACGAAACGGCUCUGGUUAAUACCCGGGGCUAAUGACGGUACCGUAAGAAUAAGCACCGGCUAACUACGUG